ACGGAAGGCAGCAGUGGGGAAUAUUGCACAAUGGGGGAAACCCUGAUGCAGCAACGCCGCGUGAGUGAAGAAGUAUUUCGGUAUGUAAAGCUCUAUCAGCAGGAAAGAUAAUGACGGUACCUGACUAAGAAGCCCCGGCUAACUACGUGCCAGCAGCCGCGGUAAUACGUAGGGGGCAAGCGUUAUCCGGAUUUACUGGGUGUAAAGGGAGCGUAGACGGUUUUGCAAGUCUGAAGUGAAAGCCCGGGGCUCAACCCCGGGACUGCUUUGGAAACUGUAGAACUAGAGUGCAGGAGAGGUAAGUGGAAUUCCUAGUGUAGCGGUGAAAUGCGUAGAUAUUAGGAGGAACACCGGUGGCGAAGGCGGCUUACUGGACUGUAACUGACGUUGAGGCUCGAAAGCGUGGGGAGCAAACAGGAUUAGAUACCCUGGUA
Molecule: ribosomal RNA, 434 nt
Filed under: uncultured Lachnospiraceae bacterium
Lineage: Bacteria; Bacillati; Bacillota; Clostridia; Lachnospirales; Lachnospiraceae
Description: partial 16S ribosomal RNA
Rfam family: Bacterial small subunit ribosomal RNA
Source: RNAcentral